Molecule: ribosomal RNA, 448 nt
Filed under: uncultured bacterium
Lineage: Bacteria
Description: bacterial SSU rRNA
Rfam family: Bacterial small subunit ribosomal RNA
Source: RNAcentral
UAGGGAAUCUUACCACGAAUGGGCGCAAGCCUGAUGGAGCAACACCGCGUGAGUGAAGAAGGGUUUCGGCUCGUAAAGCUCUGUUGUUAAAGAAGAACACGUAUGAGAGUAACUGUUCAUACGUUGACGGUAUUUAACCAGAAAGUCACGGCUAACUACGUGCCAGCAGCCGCGGUAAUACGUAGGUGGCAAGCGUUAUCCGGAUUUAUUGGGCGUAAAGAGAGUGCAGGCGGUUUUCUAAGUCUGAUGUGAAAGCCUUCGGCUUAACCGGAGAAGUGCAUCGGAAACUGGAUAACUUGAGUGCAGAAGAGGGUAGUGGAACUCCAUGUGUAGCGGUGGAAUGCGUAGAUAUAUGGAAGAACACCAGUGGCGAAGGCGGCUACCUGGUCUGCAACUGACGCUGAGACUCGAAAGCAUGGGUAGCGAACAGGAUUAGAUACCCUGGUAG